GGCCAAAAGUGGCAACGAAAACUAGACACGUUAUACAUAUAUUAGUUACAGGUAGAGACAAUGAACGACAGCUGUUGAGGCUAAAUAAAUCAAGUAGCUCCAAAGUUUCUUUGCAGAAUUUUGAAAAAAGACAACUCAAAAUCUUUAAAUACGAUCACACAGAGAGAAAGAUGACAACUCCACUCGAAAUUAAAUACCACACUCUCCUGCAUAUGGCUCUGCUCAUUGCCAGCUCCACUAAAACUCCAAACAGGCCAGGUAAAAAAACAUGUGGGCAAUGCUAUAUUGCUUUGUCAAUAGGCAUUUUCUCCACUUACCUAUUUAAAGAAAGUGUCUUGAUCAAAAGAUAGUACUCCAUCCCAAAAUAAGUGUCCGUUUAGAAAAUUUCAGACACACUAGUAGUGGUGAGAAAUAU
Molecule: long non-coding RNA, 415 nt
Filed under: Setaria viridis
Lineage: Eukaryota; Viridiplantae; Streptophyta; Magnoliopsida; Poales; Poaceae
Description: long non-coding RNA (SVIR_LNC008860)
Source: RNAcentral